This 460-nucleotide ribosomal RNA is filed under the name uncultured bacterium. Its description in RNAcentral is "partial 16S ribosomal RNA". It matches the Rfam family "Bacterial small subunit ribosomal RNA", at positions 338 to 795 of the family's 1533-position model. The record is from RNAcentral.
CCUACGGGAGGCAGCAGUGAGGAAUAUUGGUCAAUGGGCGCGAGCCUGAACCAGCCAAGUAGCGUGAAGGAUGACUGCCCUACGGGUUGUAAACUUCUUUUAUACGGGAAUAAACUGAGGCACGUGUGCCUUUUUGUAUGUAUUUUAUGAAUAAGGAUCGGCUAACUCCGUGCCAGCAGCCGCGGUAAUACGGAGGAUUCAAGCGUUAUCCGGAUUUAUUGGGUUUAAAGGGUGCGUAGGUGGUUUGUUAAGUCAGAUGUGAAGUUCUGCGGCUCAACCGUGGAAUUGCAGUUGAUACUGGCAGUCUUGAGUGUAGUUGCGGUAGGCGGAAUUCGUGGUGUAGCGGUGAAAUGCUUAGAUAUCAUGAAGAACACCGAUUGCGAAGGCAGCUUACUAAGCUGCUACUGACGUUGAGGCUCGAAAGUGUGGGUAUCAAACAGGAUUAGAUACCCGGGUAGUC